CCAUAUGGAAAACGGGUAAAGGGCCAUAAGCAGGUGCAUAAACAAAACAGUUUGAGCGCUUAAUGGAAAAACAAGCACCCAAAUAUACAUACGUGACAAUUUUCUAAGGAUCGUUAAGACAUGGGACUAAUUUUUUGAAGUUAUUUUCUAAGAUUUAACUUUCAUAUAUGUAUAUCCAUAUGCUUAUUUGCUUAUACCAAAUCAAACUACAUGACUCCGAUUAAAAAAUCGAACAUUUUAUGCUUUUUCCUUAAUUAAAUUUGGUGAAAAAAAAAAAAAACCCCUUAUCUCCAUACAAUGAUAAUUAGUGCAUUCGCCUCUACCACUACCAUUCCAUUUCCCCAAUUCCUACCAAUUUGUUUUGAACUGAGUUAAAUCAAGAACUGCACCCAUCUGUUCUUUUUUGUAUUUUUUUUUCACUAGUCACAAAUGUUGGAAUAGAGGAUCAGAAGCCCCAAACUGCAAUUAUCUGUUUUUCUUUUUUCACCCAUCACAGAUGCCAGCGGAAGAGAGCAGACCCAAACUGCAAUUAUCUUUUCUCCUUUUUUUUUUUUUUCACACAUCACAAAUGACUAUGGAAGAGAGUAGAGGAUCAGAAGCCCCAGUAACAACAACACCCUUCCUUCUAACACCCAGCAAAUAAUCCAAAGCCCUCUCUGUAAUAAUCUCACCAGGAAUCAUUACAGGAAUCCCUGGUGGGUAUGGACAUAUAAGCUCACCGCAGACCUUCCCAAGGCUCUCUCUAAUACCCACUUUCCUUUUAUUCGCAAAAAAGGCAUCUCUUGGAUUCAAGCUCAUGCUAAUAUCAGUAAAGGGUGCAUGGCCUCUAUCCUUCACCUUUGUUUCUGUUGUUUCAAUUUGUAAGGAACAUGCUGAUAGCUCCUGUAAUCCUGACACUAGCCUUUGAACAUGCUCUUUACAAGUUCCAAGAUUAAAUGCAAAUGUAAUAGAUUGGCUUCCAACAAGCUCAGAUACAAUUCCAUGAUUCCCAUACAAAAUAUCAUCUGCUUCGUAACCAGAUAAACCAAGCUGCCAAGAACCAAUGGUAAGGCGCAGAGGAUCAAUGGUGGGAAAUUCAGUGAAGCUUGGUAGCUCAAGCAAAGUAAUACCUGGGAUCUUUUUAAUGAGAAUUUUUGCUUCAGUAGCCAACUUCAUUGCUUUGUUGAAAAUUGUUUCUGGGUUUUCACUAAGUUGAGCUCUAGCAGCAUCUAAUGAUGCUAAAAGUAGAUAACUGGGGCUUGUGCUUUGAAGGGUUUGAAGGGACCUACAAAUUUUCUCCCUAUCCACAACAUUUCCUGACAUGUGUAACAUUGAUGACUGUGUGAAAGAGCAUAGAACUUUGUGAGUGGAUUGUACCACCAGAUCAGCGCCCUGCUUCAAUGCUGAAUGAGGCAUUUGGGGAUGAAAUCCCAAGUGUGCUCCAUGAGCCUCAUCAACAAUCACAGGAAUUCCAUAAGAAUGACAAAGCUGUGAAAUCUCAGUCAAGUUGCUGCAUAUGCCAUGGUAAGUAGGGGAGAUGACAAAAACAGCAGCUGGUUUCUGACCUUCCAUCUCCAAUUCCUUAAUAGCUUUGUUCACCUGUGAUGGAGUGAUCCCACCAGCAAUGUCCCAAUUACAAUUAUACUCUGGUAUGAUGUACUUAGGUAUUGCUCCAGAUAAUACCAUUGCGGAUAUGGCCGAUAUAUGGGAAUUGCGAGGAAGAAUUAUAUGUUCUCCAGGGGAGCAAGUUGCCAUUAUUGCUGCCUGAAUCCCACAUGUCGUACCUCCAAUGAGGAACCAUGUUUCCUGUGAUCCAAACAAUUUAGCAGCUAGCUUUUGUGCCUCUAAAAUGGGCCCCUCAGGUGAAAAAAGGUUGUCGAGCUCCGGAAGCUCAGGCAAAUCAUAAAUAAAUGGUUUUAAUCCGAUGAGCUUUGUUAAUGAAGAUGGUGCAGCAUGCCCUCUAUUAUGGCCAGGGAAGUGAAAACUGGCCGCAUUUUGUGCAGCUGAAGCUUUCAAUGCACUAACCAAUGGAGGGAGCCCAUGCUGCUGACUCAUAUGAGAUUUGGAAAUGAGAGAUUCAUCUUUCGUGACUGAUGUGGUUUUUCCUAUUCCACUACUUCUCCGUUGUCUCUUUUUUGAUUGCAAAGUGCUCCUUUCCUGAGUAGGAAUGCAAGUCCCUGUUCUUCUUCUCAAGGACCUCAAAGUCUUGUUGCUGGAAAAACCCAAGUGAAGAUUCUGAAGGUCCAGAGAGGGCGAAGAGACAGAAAUCAUUGCUUGGCUUUGUCGUCAAGAGCUAUCCUCCAGAGAUGCAUCCCACGAUGUCCAAGGUAAU
RNAcentral lists this unclassified non-coding RNA (2311 nucleotides) under Hevea brasiliensis (rubber tree). Lineage: Eukaryota; Viridiplantae; Streptophyta; Magnoliopsida; Malpighiales; Euphorbiaceae. The record is from RNAcentral.